Molecule: ribosomal RNA, 253 nt
Filed under: uncultured bacterium
Lineage: Bacteria
Description: partial 16S ribosomal RNA
Rfam family: Bacterial small subunit ribosomal RNA
Source: RNAcentral
UACGUAGGGUGCGAGCGUUAAUCGGAGUUACUGGGCGUAAAGCGUGCGCAGGCGGUUUUGUAAGACAGGCGUGAAAUCCCCCGGCUUAACCUGGGAACUGCAUUUGUGACUGCAAGACUAGAGUGUGGCAGAGGGGGGUAGAAUUCCACGUGUAGCAGUGAAAUGCGUAGAUAUGGGGAGGAAUACCGAUGGCGAAGGCAGCCACCUGGGUCAACACUGACGCUCAUGCACGAAAGCGUGGGGAGCAAACAGG